This 77-nucleotide transfer RNA is filed under the name Mycoplasmataceae bacterium. RNAcentral describes it as "tRNA-Ile". It matches the Rfam family "tRNA". From Rfam's summary of the family: Transfer RNA (tRNA) molecules are approximately 80 nucleotides in length. Their secondary structure includes four short double-helical elements and three loops (D, anti-codon, and T loops). Further hydrogen bonds mediate the characteristic L-shaped molecular structure. tRNAs have two regions of fundamental functional importance: the anti-codon, which is responsible for specific mRNA codon recognition, and the 3' end, to which the tRNAs corresponding amino acid is attached (by aminoacyl-tRNA synthetases). tRNAs cope with the degeneracy of the genetic code in two manners: having more than one tRNA (with a specific anti-codon) for a particular amino acid; and 'wobble' base-pairing, i.e. permitting non-standard base-pairing at the 3rd anti-codon position. The record is from RNAcentral. Lineage: Bacteria; Bacillati; Mycoplasmatota; Mollicutes; Mycoplasmatales; Mycoplasmataceae.
AGGACCAUAGCUCAGUUGGUUAGAGCGCACGGCUGAUAACCGUGAGGUCGGAGGUUCGAAUCCUCUUGGUCCUACCA